GUGGGGAAUCUUCCGCAAUGGACGAAAGUCUGACGGAGCAACGCCGCGUGAGUGAAGAAGGUUUUCGGAUCGUAAAGCUCUUUCGUUAGGGACGAACGUGCUCUUUGUGAAUAAUGAGGAGUAAUGACGGUACCUAAAUAAGAAGCCACGGCUAAAUACGUGCCAGCAGCCGCGGUAAUACGUAGGUGGCAAGCGUUGUCCGGAAUUAUUGGGCGUAAAGCGCGCGCAGGCGGGAUAUCAAGUCUGUCUUAAAAGUGCGAGGCUCAACCUCGUGAGGGGACAGAAACUGGUAUUCUUGAGUGUCGGAGAGGAAAGUGGAAUUCCAAGUGUAGCGGUGAAAUGCGUAGAGAUUUGGAAGAACACCAGUGGCGAAGGCGACUUUCUGGACGAAAACUGACGCUGAGGCGCGAAAGCCAGGGGAGCGAACGGGAUUAGAAACCCCAUAGUCC
Molecule: ribosomal RNA, 449 nt
Filed under: uncultured bacterium
Lineage: Bacteria
Description: partial 16S ribosomal RNA
Rfam family: Bacterial small subunit ribosomal RNA
Source: RNAcentral